RNAcentral lists this ribosomal RNA (200 nucleotides) under uncultured bacterium. Its description in RNAcentral is "partial 16S ribosomal RNA". It matches the Rfam family "Bacterial small subunit ribosomal RNA", at positions 524 to 722 of the family's 1533-position model. The record is from RNAcentral.
UACGUAGGGUGCGAGCGUUGUCCGGAAUUAUUGGGCGUAAAGGGCUCGUAGGCGGUUUGUCGCGUCGGGAGUGAAAUCCACUGGCUUAACUGGUGGCUUGCUUUCGAUACGGGCAGACUGGAGGUAUGCAGGGGAGAACGGAAUUCCUGGUGUAGCGGUGAAAUGCGCAGAUAUCGAGGAGGAACACCGGUGGCGAAGGC